RNAcentral lists this long non-coding RNA (3495 nucleotides) under Sus scrofa (pig). RNAcentral describes it as "lncRNA (ENSSSCG00000055462.1)". The record is from RNAcentral. Lineage: Eukaryota; Metazoa; Chordata; Mammalia; Artiodactyla; Suidae.
AUUUCUUUGGGCCGCUCCCGCUGCAUAUGGAGGUUCCCAGGCUAGGGGUCGAAUCGGAGCCACAGCCACUGGCCUACGCCAGAGCCACAGCAACGUGGGAUCCAAGCCGCGUCUGCAACCUACACCACAGCUCACGGCAACGCCAGAUCGUUAACCCACUGAGCAAGGGCAGGGACCGAACCCGCAACCUCAUGGUUCCUAGUCGGAUUCGUUAACCACUGCGCCACGACGGGAACUCCGGAAAAAAAAGUUUUUUUAAAGAUAAAAUUUCCUCAUCUGCAAAAUACGAGAGAUAUUAUGUAUUUCAUAAGAUUAAAUGGAAAAACGUCCAGAGAAAGCACUUAGCAUAGUUCCCAGUGCACACUAAGUAUGCAAUAAACUGCAUCUGUUGCUCUAAAAAAAGAAAAUGCAAACAUUCGAAAUUAAUAAUGACAAAAUUAAACCACUUUUUAAAAGAUGUAAAAAGGUUAAUGCUUUUUCUAUGGGGAAUUUAAACAUUGUAUCUACUCAUCAGGGGUCCAAAACCAUUGCUAUUAAUUACAAUUAUGUUGAUUAAUUAUUAUUAUUUUUUCUACUGUACAGCAUGGUGACCCAGUUACACAUACAUGUAUACAUUCUUUUUUCUCACAUUAUCCUGCUCCAUCAUAAGUGACCAGACACAGUUCCCAGUGCUACACAGCAGGAUCUCAUUGCUAAUCCAUUCUAAAGGCAAUAGUCUCCAUCUAUUAUCCCCAAGCUCCCAAUCCAUCCUACUCCCUCCCCUUCCCCCUUGGCAACCACAAGUCUAUUUGCCUUAAUUUAUAGAAAUUAACCUGUCUACAGAGCAUCACUAAUAGCAAACUAGUUGAGAUCUCAGCAGAUACACAAAACAAAGAAGGACAUCUAUCAAUGCAGAGGACAGCUGACUCAAGAUGUGUUCCUUCAGCUUCUUUGGGAAGGAUAUUUACACACGCUUUCCUAUGGGUAUUAUUUUUAUAUAUGCAAAUGAGAGCCUUUCAAUUUAAUUAUAUUUUUCCUCCACACAGUCUACAUGGAAUCACACCGUCUGCAGCUACUUCAUUUUAAAUUGCUCUCUUACAGCUGUUAGAAAGAAAAAGGAUAGGAAGGAAAUAAUGUCCUUGAAAACAGAGAGGGAUCCAGAGUUUCCUGUCAGCUUUAUUUAGAUCACUAAGCUGAUUCUCUGUUUAAUUCAUGUGUCAAGAAAAUAAAAACAGCCAGAACUUGGAAUUACUCUUGGCCAUCAUUCAAAUGGCCCAUGUUGGAGCAUCGCUGUAUCAUCAGAAAUUUACAUGUCAACGUGAUAACUGGAUGCAUUUGCACCUGGGUUCACUGCUAAAUGCACGCCCUUGAGAAACUUACUUACUAACCUUAUUGAGUUUCAGUUUUUUCAUCUAUAAAAACAAGGAUAAGAAACCUAGUUCACCCUACUGCACAGCACAGGGAACUACAUCCAAUCUCUUGGGACAGAACAUGAUGGAAGAUAACAAGAGAAAAAGAAUGUAUACAUAUGUAAGACUAGGUCCAUCUGCUGUACAGCAGAAAUGGACACAACACUGUAAAUCAACUAUACUUUAAUGAAAAAAUUUUAAAAAGAUACCUAAUUAAUUAAAUUGUUGUGCAGACUAAAUUAGCAUAGUCAGGCCCUGGCCCAGUUACUGGCACACAGUGGUGUCUGCAUAUAGGUAGGAUAUAUGUAUAUAUAUUUUUACAGCCGCACCUGUGGCAUAUGGGCAAGGGGUUGAAUCCUAGCUGCAGCUGAAGCCUAGGCCACAGCCAUGGAAACACUAGAUCUGAGACACAUCUGUGAACUACACCGUAGCUUGUGGCAACAACAGAUCCUUAACCUACUGAGCAAGGCCAGGGAUCAAACGUGUAUCCUCACAGAGACAAUAUUGGGUCCUUAACCUACAGAUCCACAAUGGGAACUCCUAGAAAGGAAUAUUUUAUUUUAUUUUAUUUUUAACCUUUUUCUUUUAGGGCCAUACCCAUGGCACAUGGAAGUUCCCAGGCUAGGGGUCAAAUCGGAGUUGUAGCUGCCGGCCUUCGCCACAGGCGCAGCAACACCACACCCGAGCCAUGUCUUCGACCUAUACCACAGCUCAAGGCAACACCAGAUCCUUAACCCACCAAGCGGCGAAGCCAGGGAUCAAACCUGUAUCCUCAUAAUUACUAGUCAGAUUCGUUUCUGCUGAGCCAUGACGGGAAUUUCCAGGAAGGAAUAUUUUAAAUGCACUGAUAACUGUGGUUAUUGAGCAAUGAUUAUACACCCUUUCCUAAAAUUCCAGUGAAAUGACUCCAUAUCAACCUGGAAAGCAAGGAAAGAUGGUAUUACCAGGCCAAAAACUUUGAGGAAUUUAUGGAAAAUGUUAAGGAGAGAGAUUGUAUAGAGAAUCACUAGAGCUAGGGAAAGGAGUGGUCCCUCUGGGUCUGGAGGAUGGCUGUCAAACACAGAGCCCAGGAAAAGAUCCACACUCAGGGCCAGCAAGGAUGGGAAUCCAUGGGCAACCAAUUGGAGGAGUAAUUAUUCAAAGGACUGACACUAUGGGCUAUUCAACUUCUCUGUCACAAGGAACAAUGAGAAACCACAACUGCCUUGGGUCUAAAAUCAGCAAAAACCCUCACAGGUUCCUAAGAUGGGACUUGAGCAAACAAAACAAAAAAACAAAACCCAAGUAGAGCAGUGCUCACAAAGUUUGGGACCCCAUAAGAGACAUGCAGACCCCAGUUCAACCAGCCAACUAACCGUCCUUCUUGCCUUCCCUCCAUCUAUCUUCCAUCUAUCUAUCCGUCCAUUAGAAGGAGAUGGGAAGAGAAAUGUCCACAUCCAGUGCAAUGCACUGAGAACUCUCAGGAGCUCUACCCCCAGCACAAAGUGUUGCUGGCCUCAGCAAACAGUCAAAGGAGAGCUGAAACUCAGCAGUCUGAUCAUCGUCCAAAGGGGAAAGCUGCCUGUCUGUCAAUCCCCAUGUCUAUCUACAGAACCCUACAGUCAGCCUCCUAGUCAAGAAAGCAGCUUAUUUAGCUGCCAGGUAAAUUCAUACCACCUUCUUAUGUUAUUCUAGUCUUUCAAUUAAAAUUAAGAAUCAAUAACCAAACCCAUGAACUUCCUCCAUAAGGAAAAACAUGAACAUGAGAGCAUCAAGACUAAAAACCAGAAUAAUGAUCCCUGAAGAAACAAAGUUAAUGAAAAGAGUAGAAGAUAGGUUUUUUUUUUUUUUUUAAAUUCCAAUUGAUGUCUUCAGGGAGAUUUAUGAUGACAUAGCAACAUCAAUAGUUGCUAUUUUAAAAGCAGUCAGAAAAUAAGAAAGCAACAAAUCAACAUUACUUAAAAAUAUAGAUAUAAAAUCACAAAUAGGGGGUUCUCUUAUGGCACAGCAGGGUUAAGGAUCUGGGAUUGUCAUUGCAGUGGCUCUGGUCACUGCUGUGGCUUGGGUUUGAUCCCUGGCCUGGGAACUUCCACAUGCCACAGGCACAGCCAAAAAAAAAAAAAAAAAA